Molecule: ribosomal RNA, 441 nt
Filed under: uncultured Anaerolineaceae bacterium
Lineage: Bacteria; Bacillati; Chloroflexota; Anaerolineae; Anaerolineales; Anaerolineaceae
Description: bacterial SSU rRNA
Rfam family: Bacterial small subunit ribosomal RNA
Source: RNAcentral
GCGGUGGAGCAUGUGGUUUAAUUCGACGCAACGCGAAGAACCUUACCUGGGCUUGACAUCUGCGGAAUUUCUACGAAAGUAGGAAGUGCCCUUCGGGGAGCCGCAAGACAGGUGCUGCAUGGCUGUCGUCAGCUCGUGUCGUGAGAUGUUGGGUUAAGUCCCGCAACGAGCGCAACCCUCGUCGUAUGUUAUAUGUGUCAUACGAGACUGCCGGUAAAAAGCCGGAGGAAGGUGAGGAUGAUGUCAAGUCAGCAUGACCUUUAUAUCCAGGGCUACACACACGCUACAAUGGUCUGUACAAUGGGUAGCCAAGCCGCGAGGCGGAGCCAAUCCUGAAAGCAGGCCUCAGUUCAGAUUGCAGUCUGCAACUCGACUGCAUGAAGCCGGAGUUGCUAGUAACCGCAGGUCAGCAAUACUGCGGUGAAUACGUUCCCGGGUCUU